UGGGGAAUAUUGGACAAUGGGCGCAAGCCUGAUCCAGCCAUGCCGCGUGAGUGAUGAAGGCCCUAGGGUUGUAAAGCUCUUUCACCGGUGAAGAUAAUGACGGUAACCGGAGAAGAAGCCCCGGCUAACUUCGUGCCAGCAGCCGCGGUAAUACGAAGGGGGCUAGCGUUGUUCGGAUUUACUGGGCGUAAAGCGCACGUAGGCGGACUUUUAAGUCAGGGGUGAAAUCCCGGGGCUCAACCCCGGAACUGCCUUUGAUACUGGAAGUCUUGAGUAUGGUAGAGGUGAGUGGAAUUCCGGGUGUAGGAGUGAAAGUCGUAGAUAUUCGGAGGAACACAAGUGGCGAAGGCGGCUCACUGGACCAUUACUGACGCUGAGGUGCGAAAGCGUGGGGAGCAAACAGG
Molecule: ribosomal RNA, 404 nt
Filed under: Actinomycetes bacterium
Lineage: Bacteria; Bacillati; Actinomycetota; Actinomycetes
Description: Actinobacteria bacterium partial 16S ribosomal RNA
Rfam family: Bacterial small subunit ribosomal RNA
Source: RNAcentral